CGAGGUGGAGCGAAUCUCCAAAAAUUGUCCCAGUUCAGAUUGCAGGCUGCAACUCGCCUGCAUGAAGUCGGAAUUGCUAGUAAUCGUGGAUCAGCAUGCCACGGUGAAUACGUUCCCGGGCCUUGUACACACCGCCCGUCACACCAUGGGAGUCGGUAACACCCGAAGCCUGUAGUCUAACCGCAAGGAGGACGCAGUCGAAGGUGGGAUUGAUGACUGGGGUGAAGUCGUAACAAGGUAGC
RNAcentral lists this ribosomal RNA (242 nucleotides) under uncultured bacterium. RNAcentral describes it as "partial 16S ribosomal RNA". It matches the Rfam family "Bacterial small subunit ribosomal RNA", at positions 1258 to 1500 of the family's 1533-position model. The record is from RNAcentral.